AGUGGUCAGUAGUGGUCAGUAGUGGUCAGUAGGGGGCAGUAGUGUGAGCUGUGUGUCUGUCUCCUCUGACUGUGUGACUUUGCAUAUGUGUGCUGCCUCUCUGCUCCAGCCGUUAAGAGCCCAGUGCUGCUCAGUGUGUGUGCGGGCCCUUCAGAGCCACUCCCACACCAACAACACAAUGAGCCUGAUGUCCCUGCAGCUGUUCCUGCUGGCCCUGGGGCUCCUGGUUCGGGGUUCUUCAGGAGAAAUCAGCCUGACUCAGACUCCUAAAGCUGCAGCUGUGGACAAAGGAGCCUCUGUUACUCUCAGGUGUCAGACCAGUUCAAAUGUAGGGAGAGAACUCGCCUGGUAUCUCCAAAGAGGCACAGAACCUCCAAAGCUCCUGAUAUAUGCUACAAACUCUUCACUCUGGAGUCUCCAGUCGUUUCAGUGGAAGUGGUUCAAGAUCUGAUUAUUCAUUUAUUUA
Molecule: non-coding RNA, 466 nt
Organism: Boleophthalmus pectinirostris (great blue-spotted mudskipper)
Lineage: Eukaryota; Metazoa; Chordata; Actinopteri; Gobiiformes; Gobiidae
Source: the annotation of a RefSeq genome assembly